Long non-coding RNA from Cyprinus carpio (common carp), 201 nucleotides. The record is from Ensembl. Lineage: Eukaryota; Metazoa; Chordata; Actinopteri; Cypriniformes; Cyprinidae.
AGUUUGCUUGAAAUGAACAAGGAAAUAGUGUACACAGACGACUUGUUGUGUUGUCCGGAGGAGGGAUUCAGUCCCAGGCCUAAAUCUAUGAUGCACAUAGACACCAAUCACAAAUCGAUAAGAAGACUUUAUUGAAGUACAUGCAAGUACCUGUGGGGAAAGGUUAUUAUUUUUAUUUUAUGCUUUGUGUUUUCAUGAAAU